GGAAUUUUGGACAAUGGGGGCAACCCUGAUCCAGCAAUGCCGCGUGAGUGAAGAAGGCCUUCGGGUUGUAAAGCCCUUUUGUCAGGGAAGAAACGGUGAUUUCUAAUACAAGUCACUAAGUACGGUACCUGAAGAAUAAGCACCGGCUAACUACGUGCCAGCAGCCGCGGUAAUACGUAGGGUGCAAGCGUUAAUCGGAAUUACUGGGCGUAAAGCGUGCGCAGGCGGUUGUGUAAGACAGGUGUGAAAUCCCCGGGCUCAACCUGGGAAUUGCAUUUGUGACUGCACGGCUAGAGUGUGUAAGAGGGGGGUAGAAUUCCACGUGUAGCAGUGAAAUGCGUAGAGAUGUGGAGGAAUACCGAUGGCGAAGGCAGCCCCCUGGGAUAACACUGACGCUCAUGCACGAAAGCGUGGGGAGCAAAC
RNAcentral lists this ribosomal RNA (423 nucleotides) under uncultured bacterium. RNAcentral describes it as "bacterial SSU rRNA". It matches the Rfam family "Bacterial small subunit ribosomal RNA", at positions 358 to 773 of the family's 1533-position model. The record is from RNAcentral.